RNAcentral lists this ribosomal RNA (774 nucleotides) under uncultured Neocallimastigales. RNAcentral's name for it is "partial large subunit ribosomal RNA". It matches the Rfam family "Eukaryotic large subunit ribosomal RNA", at positions 23 to 622 of the family's 3401-position model. The record is from RNAcentral. Lineage: Eukaryota; Fungi; Neocallimastigomycota; Neocallimastigomycetes; Neocallimastigales.
GAGACUCUGUGCGCGUGCAUAUCAAUAAGCGGAGGAAAAGAAACUAACAAGGAUUCCCCUAGUAACGGCGAGUGAAGCGGGAAGAGCUCAAAUUUGAAAUCUUCAAGGUUUGACCUUGACGAAUUGUAGUUUAAAGAAGUGUUUUCGGUUAGAGGAGUAGUAAAAGUUCUUUGGAAUAGGACAUCAUAGAGGGUGAGAAUCCCGUAUUUGACUAUUCUUUCUAGCUUUGUGAUACACUUUCAAAGAGUCGGAUUGUUUGGGAAUGCAGUCCAAAAUGGGUGGUAAAUUUCAUCUAGAGCUAAAUAUUGGCGAGAGACCGAUAGCGAACAAGUACCGUGAGGGAAAGAUGAAAAGAACUUUGAAAAGAGAGUUAAACAGUACGUGAAAUUGUCAAAAGGGAAGCGUUUGACACCAGUGUUGUUUUUCUGAAAAUCAAUUAAAAAUUGAUUCAUGCCAGGUUGUAUUGACCUUAUCAGCUUGCAAUUUGGUUUUGGGUCUCUUUUUGAUGCACUUUUCGGUUAACAAGUCAACAUCAAUUUCCUUUGCUGUAAAAAGGUAAGAGGAAGGUGGCUUCAAUUUCGGUUGAAGUGUUUAUAGCCUUUUAUCUCUGCAGUCGGGGAGAUUGAGGUCUGCAGCGUAGAUCCUUCGGGGCUAGAUACAUUUAUGCUAAGUUAUAGCUUUUCAUAGACAACUUGUUGACUAUGUUUAGUCAUGUAGCUUACUCGUAAGUGCUAUUUUACCUACGCUUAGGAUGUUGAACUCUAUCACACACAG